UACGGGGGGAGCAAGCGUUGUUCGGAUUUACUGGGCGUAAAGGGCGCGUAGGCGGUCAGCACAAGUCAGUUGUGAAAUCUCCGGGCUUAACCCGGAAAGGUCAACUGAUACUGUGCGACUAGAGUGCGGAAGGGGCAACUGGAAUUCUUGGUGUAGCGGUGAAAUGCGUAGAUAUCAAGAGGAACACCUGCGGCGAAGGCGGGUUGCUGGGCCGACACUGACGCUGAUGCGCGAAAGCCAGGGGAGCGAACGGG
This 254-nucleotide ribosomal RNA is filed under the name uncultured bacterium. RNAcentral describes it as "partial 16S ribosomal RNA". It matches the Rfam family "Bacterial small subunit ribosomal RNA", at positions 524 to 776 of the family's 1533-position model. The record is from RNAcentral.